GAAGAAGAAGGGGUGUGCGUACUGUGCUCUUUGCUGUGUCUUUCCGCCGUUUUAAAAAUGGGCACUUUUUGAAGAACCCGCAUCAAAGUAUUGUGGAGAAGCGUCGUGUUAAAUCUAAUUGAUGAACGGCUUUUUGUCAGUUCUGACGAGGACAGCUGAGUGAUGUUGUUGGUGAGCUUGGAUUAAAUCAUCUCUAAACAAAGAACUUGUCCUCGUGGUGACUGACUUGGGGAGUGGAGGUCAGUGAGCCCAUUGUCUCUGCUGGUCCGACUCCAACUACAAAGCCGGCCCGCUCGCCCCCUCCUGAGUCUGAGAGGAGAUCCAGA
Long non-coding RNA from Haplochromis burtoni (Burton's mouthbrooder), 326 nucleotides. RefSeq lists it as uncharacterized. Lineage: Eukaryota; Metazoa; Chordata; Actinopteri; Cichliformes; Cichlidae. The record is from RefSeq and is a predicted model, not a curated record. The transcript is spliced from 2 exons.